This 374-nucleotide long non-coding RNA is filed under the name Anser brachyrhynchus (Pink-footed goose). RNAcentral describes it as "lncRNA (ENSABRG00000021646.1)". The record is from RNAcentral. Lineage: Eukaryota; Metazoa; Chordata; Aves; Anseriformes; Anatidae.
AUGUUACCUGUUUGUGCCUGUUCUCAGAUAUACUAUCAGCUUGCAGUAACUUCUACAAGAUGCUGGGCAACUGUUCAAAAAGACACUUAUAGAGGGAAGAGAGAUUCAUCAGCUAAGUAUCCAGCAGUAAUGUUCACAUAGUAAACCCCAUCAAAAUUGAGAGUGUAAGUGAAGUAUCCAUUAUUGAUAAAGAUCAGUUUGAUCUUUAAGUUGUUUUUUUUGAUCUUUGAUCUUAAGGUUUCUGGAGGGAGAAGAGACCAAUGUGAAGUGAUGCUGCUACCAACUGAUAGUUGCAAUGCUAUAGCCAUUUUCUGAUACUGUGCUCAUUCCUAUUAAAAAAAAAAAUAAAUCUCAGUUCCUUAAAAAUUAAGAAA